This 765-nucleotide long non-coding RNA is filed under the name Marmota monax (woodchuck). Lineage: Eukaryota; Metazoa; Chordata; Mammalia; Rodentia; Sciuridae. The record is from RNAcentral.
UUUUGAGCGCAAUAUUUUCCCAGCUGCUUUGGAAGAGGUGAAACAGAGAAUAUACCUCUGCCUUGCAUUCAAUAAACAGCUUUGACUAAGUGUUCUCAGCUCAAGAAAUUCAGCGGAGUUGGAGGCCAGUCUUCUUGAAGACAGAAUGCGAACAGACAAGAAAAAAAUGUUGGGCACAGCGCUUCUGUGGUCACCGUCACACCCAAAUGAGCCAGGACCUCAGGGAGCGCAACCUCAGAUCUGCAUUUGGACAUCACCUCCUUUUGAGUUUCCGUUCUGGACUAAGGAAGAUGCCUUUUAAAAAGUCUUCAGAGAGUAAUCGUGGAUCAUGCUGAAACUGAGUUAUUUCAAAAGUGAAAGAGUGCUUUUCCACUGGAUAGAUGUUCCAAUUUCUCUCUGCAACAUACCCAAGCCAGGGGGAAUAGUAAUAACCACUUCAAAUGCCUCUCUGAGCUCUGCCAGCCCGGUGAGGCAGUGCGAGCCGCUUCCAGCCCUUACAGUGGAGAAUUCCGUUGUAAAUCCUUCCAGUUAGCCAAGGUGGCAGCAAAGCAUAGGGAUAGCUCCUUGGGCUCCAGAAUCAACUAGAAAGUCCGCGUUUUAGGACAUACACACAUCUGCCUGCUUUUAAACAUCCAUUUUCCUAUGUAAGUGUAUAUAAGAGCCUGCAUGAUGUCCUUCUUUGAAAUGUUGAUCUGUGAGGGCGGUAUAAUGAUUUCCCCUUUAAAAACACAUUUUUGUUUGAAAGCAAGAUGGAACUCUUUACAG